AAAAAAACAGAGAAGAGCAGCUGAGAGACAGUGAGAAAGAGAUGGGAAAGGGAAAAAAAAA
RNAcentral lists this small RNA (61 nucleotides) under Arabidopsis thaliana (thale cress). Its description in RNAcentral is "ATSL028640". The record is from RNAcentral. Lineage: Eukaryota; Viridiplantae; Streptophyta; Magnoliopsida; Brassicales; Brassicaceae.